Molecule: ribosomal RNA, 552 nt
Filed under: Salmonella enterica subsp. enterica serovar Panama
Lineage: Bacteria; Pseudomonadati; Pseudomonadota; Gammaproteobacteria; Enterobacterales; Enterobacteriaceae
Description: bacterial SSU rRNA
Rfam family: Bacterial small subunit ribosomal RNA
Source: RNAcentral
GAACUUUCCAGAGAUGGAUUGGUGCCUUCGGGAACUGUGAGACAGGUGCUGCAUGGCUGUCGUCAGCUCGUGUUGUGAAAUGUUGGGUUAAGUCCCGCAACGAGCGCAACCCUUAUCCUUUGUUGCCAGCGGUCCGGCCGGGAACUCAAAGGAGACUGCCAGUGAUAAACUGGAGGAAGGUGGGGAUGACGUCAAGUCAUCAUGGCCCUUACGACCAGGGCUACACACGUGCUACAAUGGCAUAUACAAAGAGAAGCGACCUCGCGAGAGCAAGCGGACCUCAUAAAGUAUGUCGUAGUCCGGAUUGGAGUCUGCAACUCGACUCCAUGAAGUCGGAAUCGCUAGUAAUCGUGGAUCAGAAUGCCACGGUGAAUACGUUCCCGGGCCUUGUACACACCGCCCGUCACACCAUGGGAGUGGGUUGCAAAAGAAGUAGGUAGCUUAACCUUCGGGAGGGCGCUUACCACUUUGUGAUUCAUGACUGGGGUGAAGUCGUAACAAGGUAACCGUAGGGGAACCUGCGGUUGGAUCACCUCCUUACCUGAAAGAAGC